GGCGGGACACGUGAUAUCCUGUCUGAAUAUGGGGGGACCAUCCUCCAAGGCUAAAUACUACUGACUGACCGAUAGUGAACCAGUACCGUGAGGGAAAGGCGAAAAGAACCCCUGUGAGGGGAGUGAAAUAGAACCUGAAACCGUGUACGUACAAGCAGUAGGAGCAGGCUUUGUCCUGUGACUGCGUACCUUUUGUAUAAUGGGUCAGCGACUUAUAUUCAGUGGCAAGGUUAACCAUCUAGGGGAGCCGUAGGGAAACCGAGUCUUAACUGGGCGUUCAGUCUCUGGAUAUAGACCCGAAACCAGGUGAUCUAGCCAUGGGCAGGUUGAAGGUUGAGUAACAUCAACUGGAGGACCGAACCGACUAAUGUUGAAAAAUUAGCGGAUGACUUGUGGCUAGGGGUGAAAGGCCAAUCAAACCUGGAGAUAGCUGGUUCUCCCCGAAAGCUAUUUAGGUAGCGCCUCGGACGAAUACUACUGGGGGUAGAGCACUGUUAAGGCUAGGGGGUCAUCCCGACUUACCAACCCUUUGCAAACUCCGAAUACCAGUAAGUACUAUCCGGGAGACACACGGCGGGUGCUAACGUCCGUCGUGGAGAGGGAAACAACCCAGACCGCCAGCUAAGGUCCCAAAUUACUACUAAGUGGGAAACGAUGUGGGAAGGCUCAGACAGCCAGGAUGUUGGCUUAGAAGCAGCCAUCAUUUAAAGAAAGCGUAAUAGCUCACUGGUCGAGUCGGCCUGCGCGGAAGAUGUAACGGGGCUAAGUAGUAAACCGAAGCUGCGGCAAUAUACUUUUGUAUAUUGGGUAGGGGAGCGUUCUGUAAGCGGUUGAAGGUGUGUGGUAACGCAUGCUGGACGUAUCAGAAGUGCGAAUGCUGACAUGAGUAACGAUAAAGGGGGUGAAAAACCUCCUCGCCGGAAGACCAAGGGUUCCUGUCCAACGUUAAUCGGGGCAGGGUAAGUCGACCCCUAAGGCGAGGCCGAAAGGCGUAGUCGAUGGGAAACGGGUUAAUAUUCCCGUACUUCUUACAAUUGCGAUGGGGGGACGGAGAAGGCUAGGUGGGCCUGGCGACGGUUGUCCAGGUUCAAGUGCGUAGGCUUAAGAGUUAGGUAAAUCCGGCUCUUUCUAAGGCUGAGACACGACGUCGAGCACCUACGGGUGUGAAGUCAUUGAUGCCAUGCUUCCAGGAAAAGCCUCUAAGCUUCAGAUUGUAAGGAAUCGUACCCCAAACCGACACAGGUGGUCGGGUAGAGAAUACCAAGGCGCUUGAGAGAACUCGGGUGAAGGAACUAGGCAAAAUGGUACCGUAACUUCGGGAGAAGGUACGCUCUUGAUGGUGAAGUCCCUUGCGGAUGGAGCUGACGAGAGUCGCAGAUACCAGGUGGCUGCAACUGUUUAUUAAAAACACAGCACUGUGCAAAAUCGUAAGAUGACGUAUACGGUGUGACGCCUGCCCGGUGCCGGAAGGUUAAUUGAUGGGGUUAGACUUCGGUCGAAGCUCUUGAUCGAAGCCCCGGUAAACGGCGGCCGUAACUAUAACGGUCCUAAGGUAGCGAAAUUCCUUGUCGGGUAAGUUCCGACCUGCACGAAUGGCGUAAUGAUGGCCACGCUGUCUCCACCCGAGACUCAGUGAAAUUGAAAUCGCUGUGAAGAUGCAGUGUACCCGCGGCUAGACGGAAAGACCCCGUGAACCUUUACUACAGCUUGGCACUGAACAUUGACCCUACAUGUGUAGGAUAGGUGGGAGGCUUUGAAGCACGUACGCCAGUAUGUGUGGAGCCGUCCUUGAAAUACCACCCUUGUAGUGUUGAUGUUCUAACGUCGACCCCUAAUCGGGGUUGCGGACAGUGCCUGGUGGGUAGUUUGACUGGGGCGGUCUCCUCCCAAAGAGUAACGGAGGAGCACGAAGGUGGGCUAAUCACGGUUGGACAUCGUGAGGUUAGUGCAAUGGCAUAAGCCCGCUUGACUGCGAGAAUGACAAUUCGAGCAGGUGCGAAAGCAGGUCAUAGUGAUCCGGUGGUUCUGAAUGGAAGGGCCAUCGCUCAACGGAUAAAAGGUACUCCGGGGAUAACAGGCUGAUACCGCCCAAGAGUUCAUAUCGACGGCGGUGUUUGGCACCUCGAUGUCGGCUCAUCACAUCCUGGGGCUGAAGUCGGUCCCAAGGGUAUGGCUGUUCGCCAUUUAAAGUGGUACGCGAGCUGGGUUUAGAACGUCGUGAGACAGUUCGGUCCCUAUCUGCCGUGGGCGUUGGAAGAUUGAAGGGGGCUGCUCCUAGUACGAGAGGACCGGAGUGGACGAACCUCUGGUGUUCGGGUUGUGUCGCCAGACGCAUUGCCCGGUAGCUAAGUUCGGAAUCGAUAACCGCUGAAAGCAUCUAAGCGGGAAGCGAGCCCUGAGAUGAGUCUUCCCUGAUACUUUAAGUAUCCUAAAGGGUUGUCGGAGACUACGACGUUGAUAGGUCAGGUGUGUAAGUGCUGUGAGGCAUUGAGCUAACUGAUACUAAUUGCCCGUGAGGCUUAACCAU
RNAcentral lists this ribosomal RNA (2527 nucleotides) under Vibrio parahaemolyticus. RNAcentral describes it as "partial 23S ribosomal RNA". It matches the Rfam family "Bacterial large subunit ribosomal RNA", at positions 416 to 2925 of the family's 2925-position model. The record is from RNAcentral. Lineage: Bacteria; Pseudomonadati; Pseudomonadota; Gammaproteobacteria; Vibrionales; Vibrionaceae.